GACCACGCGGUGGGAGAAGCGUCCGCCCCGGGCACCCCGGCCGGCCGCUGCCGAAGGCGCAACGCCCGUAAUCGCUCAGGCCCCAGACCGCCGCGUGUAC
Molecule: non-coding RNA, 100 nt
Filed under: Lysobacter enzymogenes
Lineage: Bacteria; Pseudomonadati; Pseudomonadota; Gammaproteobacteria; Lysobacterales; Lysobacteraceae
Description: Glycine sequence
Rfam family: Glycine riboswitch aptamer
About the family: This family represents the bacterial glycine riboswitch. Glycine riboswitches usually consist of two metabolite-binding aptamers domains with similar structures in tandem. The aptamers cooperatively bind glycine to regulate the expression of downstream genes.
Source: Rfam by way of RNAcentral